RNAcentral lists this ribosomal RNA (452 nucleotides) under uncultured bacterium. RNAcentral describes it as "bacterial SSU rRNA". It matches the Rfam family "Bacterial small subunit ribosomal RNA", at positions 28 to 526 of the family's 1533-position model. The record is from RNAcentral.
GAUGAACGCUGGCGGCGUGCUUAACACAUGCAAGUCGAACGAACCUUCGGGUUAGUGGCGGACGGGUGAGUAACGCGUGGGAAUCUGCCCUCAGGAGGGGGAUAACGGCUGGAAACGGCCGCUAAUACCCCAUAUGCCGAGAGGUGAAAUGAAUUUCGCCUGAGGAUGAGCCCGCGUCUGAUUAGCUAGUUGGUGGGGUAAAGGCCUACCAAGGCAUCGAUCAGUAGCUGGUCUGAGAGGAUGAUCAGCCACACUGGGACUGAGACACGGCCCAGACUCCUACGGGAGGCAGCAGUGGGGAAUUUUCCGCAAUGGGCGAAAGCCUGACGGAGCAACGCCGCGUGAGGGAUGAAGGCCUGAAAUAGGUUGUAAACUUCUUUUACUGAGUAAUGAAUACUGACAACGCAGUAAAAAAGUAUCGGCUAACUCCGUGCCAGCCGCCGCAGUAACAC